AGUUGUUGCAGUUAAAAAGCUCGUAGUUGGAUCUCGGGUGCCAGCGUAUGGUUCGCUUUACUGCUGUAACUAUACGUCUGGUCCUAAUUAAUCGGUUGGCCGAUUAUGUCCUUUAUUGGGUGUUUUCGGUAGCCGGUACGUUUACUUUGAGAAAAUUAGAGUGCUUAAAGCAGGCCUUACGCCUGAAUAAUGUUGCAUGGAAUAAUAGAAUAGGACCUCGGUUCUAUUUUGUUGGUUUUGUAGAGCAUUGAGGUAAUGAUUAAUAGGGACAGACGGGGGCAUUCGUAUUGCGGUGUUAGAGGUGAAAUUCUUGGAUCGCCGCAAGACGAACAACUGCGAAAGCAUUUGCCAAGAAUGUUUUCAUUAAUCAAGAACGAAAGUUGGAGGUUCGAAGACGAUUAGAUACCGUCCUAGUUCCAACCAUAAACGAUGCCAACUAGCGAUUAGCUGCUGUUAUUUAAACGACACAGCUAGCAGCUUCCGGGAAACCAAAGUUUUUGGGUUCCGGGGGAAGUAUGGUUGCAAAGCUGAAACUUAAAGGAAUUGACGGAAGGGCACCACCAGGAGUGGAGCCUGCGGCUUAAUUUGACUCAACACGGGAAAUCUCACCCGGCCCGGACACUGUAAGGAUUGA
RNAcentral lists this ribosomal RNA (634 nucleotides) under uncultured eukaryote. RNAcentral describes it as "SSU rRNA". It matches the Rfam family "Eukaryotic small subunit ribosomal RNA", at positions 608 to 1243 of the family's 1831-position model. The record is from RNAcentral.